UGGGAUGUAACUCAGUGGUAGAGUGCUUGCCUGGCAUGUAUAAGGCCUUGGGUUUUAUCCAGCAUUGCAG
This 70-nucleotide transfer RNA is filed under the name Ictidomys tridecemlineatus (thirteen-lined ground squirrel). RNAcentral describes it as "Spermophilus tridecemlineatus (thirteen-lined ground squirrel) tRNA". It matches the Rfam family "tRNA". Rfam says of the family: Transfer RNA (tRNA) molecules are approximately 80 nucleotides in length. Their secondary structure includes four short double-helical elements and three loops (D, anti-codon, and T loops). The record is from Rfam by way of RNAcentral. Lineage: Eukaryota; Metazoa; Chordata; Mammalia; Rodentia; Sciuridae.